AAAUGGACUCUCAGCAACG
Molecule: ribosomal RNA, 19 nt
Filed under: Frullania sp. B BlS-2016
Lineage: Eukaryota; Viridiplantae; Streptophyta; Jungermanniopsida; Porellales; Frullaniaceae
Description: partial 5.8S ribosomal RNA
Source: RNAcentral